GUGCCAGCCGCCGCGGUAAGACAGAGGGUGCAAACGUUGUUCGGAAUUACUGGGCGUAAAGCGAGUGUAGGCGGUCUCAUAAGUCGGGUGUGAAAGCCCUGGGCUCAACCCAGGAAGUGCACUCGAUACUGCGAGGCUAGAGUAUCGGAGAGGUUGGUGGAAUUCUCGGUGUAGAGGUGAAAUUCGUAGAUAUCGAGAGGAACACCGGUGGCGAAGGCGGCCAACUGGACGAAUACUGACGCUGAGACUCGAAAGCGUGGGGAGCAAACAGGAUUAGAAACCCCUGUAGUCC
RNAcentral lists this ribosomal RNA (292 nucleotides) under uncultured bacterium. RNAcentral describes it as "partial 16S ribosomal RNA". It matches the Rfam family "Bacterial small subunit ribosomal RNA", at positions 505 to 796 of the family's 1533-position model. The record is from RNAcentral.